RNAcentral lists this ribosomal RNA (253 nucleotides) under uncultured bacterium. RNAcentral describes it as "partial 16S ribosomal RNA". It matches the Rfam family "Bacterial small subunit ribosomal RNA", at positions 524 to 776 of the family's 1533-position model. The record is from RNAcentral.
UACGAAGGGGGCUAGCGUUGCUCGGAAUUACUGGGCGUAAAGGGCGCGCAGGCGGCCCUUGAAGUCAGGCGUGAAAGCCCCGGGCUCAACCUGGGAGGUGCGCUUGAUACUCGAGGGCUUGAGUACGGGAGAGGAGAGUGGAAUUCCCAGUGUAGAGGUGAAAUUCGUAGAUAUUGGGAAGAACACCGGUAGCGAAGGCGGCUCUCUGGACCGUAACUGACGCUGAGGCGCGAAAGCGUGGGGAGCAAACAGG